RNAcentral lists this ribosomal RNA (460 nucleotides) under uncultured bacterium. Its description in RNAcentral is "partial 16S ribosomal RNA". It matches the Rfam family "Bacterial small subunit ribosomal RNA", at positions 338 to 795 of the family's 1533-position model. The record is from RNAcentral.
CCUACGGGCGACAGCAGUGAGGAAUAUUGGUCAAUGGACGAGAGUCUGAACCAGCCAAGUAGCGUGAAGGAUGACUGCCCUAUGGGUUGUAAACUUCUUUUAUAUGGGAAUAAAACGUUCCACGUGUGGGAUUUUGUAUGUACCAUAUGAAUAAGGAUCGGCUAACUCCGUGCCAGCAGCCGCGGUAAUACGGAGGGUCCGAGCGUUAUCCGGAUUUAUUGGGGUUAAAGGGAGCGUAGGUGGAUUGUUAAGUCAGUUGUGAAAGUUUGCGGCUCAACCGUAAAAUUGCAGUUGAAACUGGCAGUCUUGAGUACAGUAGAGGUGGGCGGAAUUCGUGGUGUAGCGGUGAAAUGCGUAGAUAUCACGAAGAACUCCGAUUGCGAAGGCAGUUCACUGGACUGCAACUGACACUGAGGCUCGAAAGUGUGGGUAUCAAACAGGAUUAGAUACCCCAGUAGUC